RNAcentral lists this long non-coding RNA (341 nucleotides) under Sorghum bicolor (sorghum). RNAcentral's name for it is "long non-coding RNA (SBIC_LNC018213)". Lineage: Eukaryota; Viridiplantae; Streptophyta; Magnoliopsida; Poales; Poaceae. The record is from RNAcentral.
GGCCCAGAUAUGGACAGAGUAUGGUAGACUACAGUGAGAGCUUUUCAGUGCUACUACGAGUUGCCGUCAUCUCUGAGAUAAGCGGUGCAGAGAUCAAUCAUCAAUUCCUCAGCUGAGAAGCCAUGACAGUAGUAUUGGCUGGUUUGUUGUGAAAGAAAAACAUUGUUGAAUAUCGGAUAGAUUUGGCUGAUAAACUUAACAAGCAGCAAGUGGAGACCUGGCCCUGGCACACAACAUUUAGCUCUGCUGCCACUGACACGUUCCCUAAGUAGUAAGAGUAUCUCUAUCAAAAUUACUCAAAUAACCCUCUAUCAUCAAUUUAGGUGUUGGAAACUAAGGGC